UAGGGAAUCUUCGGCAAUGGACGAAAGUCUGACCGAGCAACGCCGCGUGAGUGAAGAAGGUUUUCGGAUCGUAAAACUCUGUUGUUAGAGAAGAACAAGGACGUUAGUAACUGAACGUCCCCUGACGGUAUCUAACCAGAAAGCCACGGCUAACUACGUGCCAGCAGCCGCGGUAAUACGUAGGUGGCAAGCGUUGUCCGGAUUUAUUGGGCGUAAAGCGAGCGCAGGCGGUUUCUUAAGUCAGAGGUGAAAGCCCCCGGCUCAACCGGGGAGGGUCAUUGGAAACUGGGAGACUUGAGUGCAGAAGAGGAGAGUGGAAUUCCAUGUGUAGCGGUGAAAUGCGUAGAUAUAUGGAGGAACACCAGUGGCGAAGGCGGCUCUCUGGUCUGUAACUGACGCUGAGGCUCGAAAGCGUGGGGAGCAAACAGG
This 429-nucleotide ribosomal RNA is filed under the name Gemmatimonadota bacterium. RNAcentral describes it as "Gemmatimonadetes bacterium partial 16S ribosomal RNA". It matches the Rfam family "Bacterial small subunit ribosomal RNA", at positions 355 to 776 of the family's 1533-position model. Lineage: Bacteria; Pseudomonadati; Gemmatimonadota. The record is from RNAcentral.